RNAcentral lists this long non-coding RNA (257 nucleotides) under Pan troglodytes (chimpanzee). Its description in RNAcentral is "long non-coding RNA NONPTRT010418". Lineage: Eukaryota; Metazoa; Chordata; Mammalia; Primates; Hominidae. The record is from RNAcentral.
UAGAAGCAGGACCAGGUAGGAUAACAUUACAUUUGGCCUUGACUGAGGGUUGAGGUAAUGAGAGGCAAACUUGAAGGAAUUGCUAGAACUGGUCCUGGUUGGAGGGGAGGGAAAAAUUUGCCUGGUAUUGGGAGCUGGGCUGGGGAUAGGGUUCAUUAUCUGAGGUAGAGAAUCUUGGAGGAAGAGCAGGUUUGAGGCAGGAUGAUACAGUGAACUUUUCAUUUUCUUAUGUAUUCUGAUGAGCAGAAGUUUUUAAU